This 497-nucleotide ribosomal RNA is filed under the name uncultured bacterium. Its description in RNAcentral is "partial 16S ribosomal RNA". It matches the Rfam family "Bacterial small subunit ribosomal RNA", at positions 28 to 507 of the family's 1533-position model. The record is from RNAcentral.
GACGAACGCUGGCGGCGUGCCUAAUACAUGCAAGUAGAACGCUGAAGCGAGGAGCUUGCUCUUCUUGGAUGAGUUGCGAACGGGUGAGUAACGCGUAGGUAACCUGCCUUGUAGCGGGGGAUAACUACUGGAAACGAUAGCUAAUACCGCAUAACAAUGGAUGACACAUGUCAUUUAUUUGAAAGGGGCAAUUGCUCCACUACAAGAUGGACCUGCGUUGUAUUAGCUAGUAGGUGAGGUAACGGCUCACCUAGGCGACGAUACAUAGCCGACCUGAGAGGGUGAUCGGCCACACUGGGACUGAGACGAGGCCCAGACUCCUACGGGACGCAGCAGGAGGGAAUCUUCGGCAAUGGGGGCGACCCUGACCGAGCAACGCCGCGUGAGUGAAGAAGGUGUUCGGAUCGGAAAGCUCUGUUGUCAGUCAAGAACCAGUGUGAGAGUGGAAAGUUCACACUGUGACGGUAGCUUACCAGAAAGGGACGGCUAACUACGUG